RNAcentral lists this microRNA precursor (92 nucleotides) under Pteropus vampyrus (large flying fox). The record is from RNAcentral. Lineage: Eukaryota; Metazoa; Chordata; Mammalia; Chiroptera; Pteropodidae.
AUACUGUCUGUGGCCAUGCUACCCUGAACAAGCCCGAUCCCAUCUGAUCUCAGAAACUAAGCAGGGUUGGGCCUGGUUAGUACAUGGACGGG